This 253-nucleotide ribosomal RNA is filed under the name uncultured bacterium. RNAcentral describes it as "partial 16S ribosomal RNA". It matches the Rfam family "Bacterial small subunit ribosomal RNA", at positions 524 to 776 of the family's 1533-position model. The record is from RNAcentral.
GACGGAAGGUGCAAGCGUUGCUCGGAAUCACUGGGCGUAAAGGGUGCGUAGGCGGCCGCGCAAGGCUGGCGUGAAAGCCCCGGGCUCAGCCCGGGAAGGGCGCUCGAAACGGCGCGGCUCGAGUGCCGGAGGGGAGAGUGGAAUUCCUGGUGUAGCGGUGAAAUGCGUAGAUAUCAGGAGGAAUACCGGUGGCGAAAGCGACUCUCUGGACGGCAACUGACGCUGAGGCACGAAAGCCAGGGGAGCAAACGGG